Bactrocera oleae (olive fruit fly) is the source of this 579-nucleotide long non-coding RNA. RefSeq lists it as uncharacterized. NCBI's taxonomy places the organism in Eukaryota, Metazoa, Arthropoda, Insecta, Diptera, Tephritidae. The record is from RefSeq and is a predicted model, not a curated record.
UACAGAACGAAAUUUGAUUCGUCGCAUUAACGACGGUGAUUCAAACGUCAAAAAAAUAAUUCGUUUUUGAAGCGCAUUGUUACUGGCGACGAAAAGUGAGUUGUUUACAUAAUUGUAAAGCGCAACAGAUUAUGGUCUAAAAAGAAUGAACCAGCUCAAAUCUCUUUAAAGGCGGAUAGUCACAAAAAAAGUGUGUUGUGAUCAGCUGGACAAAUUGAGUGAUGCGCUCAAACAGAAGAGGCUGGAAUUGAUCAAUAGAAAAGGUGUAGUGUUUCACCAGGAUAAUGCGAAUUUGAUGACUCGCUAAAAGCUUUUGCAGCUUGAAUUGGAUGUGCUACCACACCCAGCAGAUUCUCCAGACUUGGCACUUUUGGACUAUUAUCUCUUUCGAUCUCUGGAAAAUUUUUGAAGGGAAGAACCUUCACCUCACCAUUUGCCUGUAAGGAUAAAAAAUUUAAGAACGUGGAAUCAAUCUCUUGCCGAAAAUAUGCCAAAAGGUUUUGGAUCUAAAUGGAGAAUACAUAUUUUUAUAAAUUGUUUUACACAAUAAAACAAUCGUGUUCAAAUCGUGUUAAAAAA